UGGCUCAGAUUGAACGCUGGCGGCAUGCCUUACACAUGCAAGUCGAACGGCAGCGGACCUUCGGGUGCCGGCGAGUGGCGAAACGGGUGAGUAAUAUAUCGGAACGUACCUUUCAGUGGGGGAUAACGUAGCGAAAGUUACGCUAAUACCGCAUAUUCUGUGAGCAGGAAAGCAGGGGAUCGCAAGACCUUGCGCUGAUUGAGCGGCCGAUAUCAGAUUAGCUAGUUGGUGAGGUAAAGGCUCACCAAGGCGACGAUCUGUAGCGGGUCUGAGAGGAUGAUCCGCCACACUGGAACUGAGACACGGUCCAGACUCCUACGGGAGGCAGCAGUGGGGAAUUUUGGACAAUGGGCGCAAGCCUGAUCCAGCCAUGCCGCGUGAGUGAAGAAGGCCUUCGGGUUGUAAAGCUCUUUCGGCCGGGAAGAAAUCGCACAGGUUAAUACCCUGUGUGGAUGACGGUACCGGAAUAAGAAGCACCGGCUAACUACGUG
Molecule: ribosomal RNA, 491 nt
Filed under: uncultured bacterium
Lineage: Bacteria
Description: bacterial SSU rRNA
Rfam family: Bacterial small subunit ribosomal RNA
Source: RNAcentral